Molecule: unclassified non-coding RNA, 284 nt
Filed under: Hevea brasiliensis (rubber tree)
Lineage: Eukaryota; Viridiplantae; Streptophyta; Magnoliopsida; Malpighiales; Euphorbiaceae
Source: RNAcentral
AUUUAUGAUAGCAAACUUGAAUGCUUGCGUUCAUGGUAUCCAAAGGACACGCUUAUUGCUCCCAUUUCAAGUGCGAUAUAUUCCAGUGAUGGUUUGCUGGUUUAUACGGGUUUUUGUGAUGGUGCUGUUGGAGUUUUUGAUGCAGAUGGCUUGAGGGUCAGGUGUAGAAUAGCACCUUCUGCUUACAUACCUUCAUUUGUGGCAGGCAACACUGCAUAUCCUAUGGUUAUAGCAGCUCAUCCAUCUGAGCCCAAUCAGAUUGCACUUGGCAUGAGUGAUGGUGC